UACGACCAUCUCACAAGGAAAAACCGGUUCCCGUACGAUCACGGAAGUUAAGCAACGGUGAGCCUGAUCAGUACCUAGAUGGAUGACCGUUUGAGAAUACCAGGU
Molecule: non-coding RNA, 105 nt
Organism: Acanthosepion pharaonis
Lineage: Eukaryota; Metazoa; Mollusca; Cephalopoda; Sepiida; Sepiidae
Source: the annotation of a GenBank genome assembly